RNAcentral lists this ribosomal RNA (119 nucleotides) under Vigna angularis (adzuki bean). RNAcentral also lists the same sequence under 1 other name. Lineage: Eukaryota; Viridiplantae; Streptophyta; Magnoliopsida; Fabales; Fabaceae. The record is from RNAcentral.
AGGUGCGAUCAGACCAGCACUGAUGCACCGGAUCCCAUCAGAACUCCGCAGUGAAGCAUGUUUGGGCGAGAGUAGUAUUAGGAUGGGUGACCUCCUAGGAAGUCCUCGUGUUGCACCUC